This is a long non-coding RNA of Mugil cephalus (flathead mullet), 2413 nucleotides long. RefSeq lists it as uncharacterized. The transcript has 2 exons. The record is from RefSeq and is a predicted model, not a curated record. Lineage: Eukaryota; Metazoa; Chordata; Actinopteri; Mugiliformes; Mugilidae.
AAUGUUAACACAAAAUACCAAAACAUGGAUGCAAUCAAAUAGAAAAUUAGGCCCCCCCUUCCCCCCUAUUUUGAGGAUCAGAUGGUACAUCCCAGUCUCUCCUCCUCUCCUUUUUAUUCUCCUCCCUCCUGUUCUCAGUGUCCUCCAUCUCUCUGCCUUCUGUCAUUUCCUUGCACUGAGGACACUGUAACUUUCAGAGACUGCUGUGCUUCACCGUCCAUCUAUUGCACUUGCAAUCUCUACUGAGCUGCCAUAAAGUGAAGCGGCACAGAGCUGACCUUAUAAAGACUCCACCAGACCAGACCACACCUUUGUCUCAGAGUCCAUGGAAGCCAAGACCAAGUCCGGGGCUCCAGCCCCCAAGGCAGCUUCUAAAGCAGAGAAGAAAGAGCCAGCAGCCCCACGCAAGGCUGACCCUGCCCCUGCAGCCCCUGAGCCUGAGCAUCGCCCUCCCUCCGAGGAUGGAGCAGCAGAAGCUGAAACAGGAGCAGGUGACGAGGCAGCGGCCUCCGGCACAGACUCUCUGGAACACCUGAAACCCUUUCUCAUCGGUGGUGCCGUUAUUGCUGCAGGAGCCAUCUUACUGGGAGUGUUGCUACUGGCAAGGAGAAAUUAAAACCCUAAACUUAGAGUAUUUAUUGGUUGGUGAGUUAGUGUGUGGAUGCUGGUUGGUUCACAGACUAUCACGGUACAGAUGGGGAUGGGGAGCCACUGUGCAUUUUACUUUUCUUUAUCUGUUUUUCUGGCCUGCUUCCACUUGUAGUGAAUCAAACCAUUCAAGUUCUGAUCACCGCUGUAAAUUUAGCACAAUUAUACAUAGUACUAUAUGCAUGAUAUCGCUACAAUACUGCAUCUGAAAUGUAAUUAUCUACUUCUUAAAAAAAUAACUUACACUGUAUUACUGAGCUAAAAAGUCUAAACUCUCCUAAAGGUAGCUUAUUCAACUGCUUUAUCUUGUUUAAUCCAGUUUGCACAAAUGUUGAAUUGAUGUUGCAAUGUUUGUACAUUCUUGCACUGGAAAUUAGCUAGGUUCACUUAGCUAGAAGACGACGAAAAACUGUACUUGUAAUGUCGGAACUUACGGUAUCGGCUAUCAGAGUUUUAGGGUUUAUUUUACUUGCAAAUAAGUCAGUGGAGACAGUUGAGAGGAGGGUGGAGAACAGCUGGGAUUAUGCACUAUGACAUAUUGCACAUGUCUAGGCUAAACCAAUGUAUAACUGAAGGGCAUUGAGCACAUGGUAAAAUACUUUGAGUCCCUGUAUAUAAAAAAAGUCAGAUACAGAAUGGCGUUGUGCAAUUUCAAAACAUCUUCAGAGACAGAACGUAGAAUAUAAGCAUGCAGCGGUUGAGGAUUAGCAUGUAAUGGGAUUGUUGGACAUAAAAUAUGUACACUAAAGAACUGAGAAAAAUAGUGAAGUUACUGUUGCUGUAGGAUAAUAAAAAAAAAAGAUUUCUUUUAUUGUCUAAUCAUAUCACAAAUCAAUAACUUUUCAUGUCUUUUACAUCCGCUGCUUCAGGCUGUUUACAUCUUAUAGUAGAUGCCUAGCUGUAGGAGGCUCAACAGCCGUUAAUGUUGCAGUGUCAUGUUUGAAACCUGCUACCAAAACAUGGGAGUUGCUUCCAUCUACACUGUGCUCCCCAUGUAUUUUCAAAAUCUCAUUCUCAAAACCUCAUUAAUAAGUAAGUACAACUACAAUGUAAUGAGAGCAUCCAAGGUUGCUUAUACAAUGAAUGUUGGUGUAAAAAGAAAUACUGUCAUGUAGUUUACUCAAACAGAAAAAAAUGUUAAGCUGUCGCAAUUUUGUUGCUGCGCACAAUCAAUCAUACAUGUGUACACACUAUUUUCAUUUCACGUUGGAAAACUCAUGUGGUAGUCCCUGUUGCAAGUAGGUAGCAGAAAGACACUUCAUUGCUUCAUUUUAGUUGUAUAGUUACAAAUAAUUCUAUACAUUACUGGCUAAAAUAUUGUAUGAGCAUACCACAUUAAUCAUUCACCCCAGACAUUUCCAAAAGAUAGUAUUCCAACACCAAAACAAACUUCACCUUACAUUGUACAAUACAGUGUACCAAAAAAAUAUAAUAAUAAUCCUAUUUUCAUAAUUUCAACAGCGUAUAAAUGCAAUAAUUCAGAUAGGUCUCCUCAUUUAGCACAUGUGCUGUAGCAAGUUAAAUUACAUUAACAAUGUAAUAGUGUGCGAUGCUAGAAAUGGAAAUGGUGGUGAUAUGGAGGUACAAGAAAUGACGAUGGCGAUGAUGAUGCUUUUCAUGGUGAUUGUAAUGAUCAGGAUGAUGGUUAUGAUAUAUUUUUUAUAUAUUUCUAACAUACUUUCCUUAUGCACUCUCCCCUCUGCCCCAAACUUCUAAAUGUACAAAAGAGUUUGAAAUCCAACCUAAUUAAAGGAAGUGAACCAGC